This is a long non-coding RNA of Oncorhynchus tshawytscha (Chinook salmon), 652 nucleotides long. Lineage: Eukaryota; Metazoa; Chordata; Actinopteri; Salmoniformes; Salmonidae. The record is from Ensembl.
GUUUGAGAGGCAGGUUUAUGGUUCCUCCUAGACUCUCAGGAGUUAACACACACAGGUCAGGGAGGGUUUGAGAGGCAGGUGUAUGGUUCCCCCUAGACUCUCAGGAGUUAACACACACACGGAGGGUUUGAGAGGCAGGUGUAUGGUUCCCCCUAGACUCUCAGGAGUUAACACACACAGGUCAGGGAGGGUUUGAGAGGCAGGUGUAUGGUUCCCCCUAGACUCUCAGGAGUUAACACACACAGGUCAGGGAGGGUUUGAGAGCCAGGUUUAUGGUUCCCCCUAGACUCUCAGGAGUUAACACACACAGGUCAGGGAGGAUUUGAGAGGCAGGUUUAUGGUUCGCCCUAGACUCUCAGGAGUUAACACACACAGGUCAGGGAGGGUUUGAGAGGCAGGUGUAUGGUUCCCCCUAGACUCUCAGGAGUUAACACACACAGGUCAGGGAGGGUUUGAGAGGCAGGUUUAUGGUUCCCCCUAGACUCUCAGGAGUUAACACACACAGGUCAGGGAGGGUUUGAGAGCCAGGUUUAUGGUUCCCCUAGACUCUCAGGAGUUAACACACACAGGCCAGGGAGGAUUUGAGAGGCAGGUUUAUGGUUCCCCCUAGACUCUCAGGAGUUAACACACACAGGGAGGGUUUGAGAGGCAG